UACAGGGGGGCGAGCGGUUGUUCGGAAUUAUUGGGCGUAAAGGGCGCGUAGGCGGUGCGGUAAGUCACCUGUGAAACCUCUGGGCUUAACCCAGAGCCUGCAGGCGAAACUGCCGUGCUAGAGUGUGGGAGAGGUGCGUGGGAAUUCCCGGUGGUAAGCGGUGAAAUGCGUAGAUAUCGGGAGGAACACCUGUGGCGAAAGCGGCGCACUGGACCACAACGUGACGCUGAGGCGCGAAAGCUAGGGGAGCAAACAGG
Molecule: ribosomal RNA, 257 nt
Filed under: uncultured bacterium
Lineage: Bacteria
Description: partial 16S ribosomal RNA
Rfam family: Bacterial small subunit ribosomal RNA
Source: RNAcentral